This 253-nucleotide ribosomal RNA is filed under the name uncultured bacterium. RNAcentral describes it as "partial 16S ribosomal RNA". It matches the Rfam family "Bacterial small subunit ribosomal RNA", at positions 57 to 305 of the family's 1533-position model. The record is from RNAcentral.
GCAAGUCGAACGGGAUCCAGAAGCUUGCUUCUGGUGAGAGUGGCGAACGGGUGAGUAACACGUAGAUAAUCUGCCUUUUGGUUGGGGAUAGCCUAUGGAAACAUAGGGUAAUACCGAAUAAUGUCCUAUUAAGAUGUUAAAAGGAUGAAAGGUCCGUUUGGAUCGCCGAAAGAUGAGUCUGCGGCUUAUUAGCUAGUUGGUAGGGUAAGAGCCUACCAAGGCGACGAUAAGUAGCCGGCCUGAGAGGGUGACC